Molecule: ribosomal RNA, 433 nt
Filed under: uncultured bacterium
Lineage: Bacteria
Description: partial 16S ribosomal RNA
Rfam family: Bacterial small subunit ribosomal RNA
Source: RNAcentral
AACGAACGCUGGCGGCAUGCCUAACACAUGCAAGUCGAACGAGACCUUCGGGUCUAGUGGCGCACGGGUGCGUAACGUGUGGGAACCUGCCCUUAGGUUCGGAAUAACUCCCCGAAAGGGGUGCUAAUACCGGAUAAUGUCUUCGGACCAAAGAUUUAUCGCCUUUGGAUGGGCCCGCGUUGGAUUAGCUAGUUGGUAGGGUAAAAGCCUACCAAGGCGACGAUCCAUAGCUGGUCUGAGAGGAUGAUCAGCCACACUGGGACUGAGACACGGCCCAGACUCCUACGGGAGGCAGCAGUGGGGAAUAUUGGACAAUGGGCGAAAGCCUGAUCCAGCAAUGCCGCGUGAGUGAUGAAGGCCUUAGGGUUGUAAAGCUCUUUUACCCGGGAUGAUGAUGACAGUACCGGGAGAAUAAGCUCCGGCUAACUCCGUG